Drosophila elegans is the source of this 489-nucleotide long non-coding RNA. RefSeq lists it as uncharacterized. Lineage: Eukaryota; Metazoa; Arthropoda; Insecta; Diptera; Drosophilidae. The record is from RefSeq and is a predicted model, not a curated record. The transcript has 3 exons.
UGAAAUCUAUAUAUAUUAUUUAACAAACAUGGAGUGGCUUCUGGUAUUUAUUAUUGGCUGUAUUGUUGGAUAUCUAGUAUCGCAGCAUACAUAGAUGCGGUUUUUACAAAUUGGACUAGAAAAAUUCAAAAGUAAAUGUAUUCCACAGUCGGCAUUCUACUUGACCUGUACGUUUCGUGUACUCUAAAAUAUUCAAAAUUUUGCGUUCAAAUCCGCUGAGAUUCUAUUUCUAUUAGAAAAUAUGCAACGCUUUAUCACUUUCAUUGUUGGAGGAAUCGUUGGUUUCCUCGUCGCCAAGAAUACCCGUUAAACAUAAUGGCCUAUGUCAUCUGCUUCGGAUUGGGCAUGGUUUUUGGCAUGUUUGUAUGCCGACGUUGCGAGGCGUGAUUGAGACGAAUUAUGGACCUUGUAACUGACCUGCAGGAAUUCAAGAUCUAGAGUGCCAUCUUCUGACAUAUGGAUAUUUAAUAAACGGUUCAAGACAUUAAA